Mangifera indica (mango) is the source of this 1135-nucleotide RNA transcript. It is a transcript of the gene named embryogenesis-like protein, with no coding region annotated. The transcript has 3 exons. NCBI's taxonomy places the organism in Eukaryota, Viridiplantae, Streptophyta, Magnoliopsida, Sapindales, Anacardiaceae. The record is from RefSeq and is a predicted model, not a curated record.
AUGUAUCAUGCUAUCACUUGUGUGCGUUCGAGUGUAACGAUUACUUCCUAGGGUUUAGGCUUUUCCUUCUCUGCGUCUUUUUUAGUUCACCGAGUCUGAGAGAGUUCGAAAUCUCUAAAAAAUGUGCAAACGCUCACAAAUUUCACUCUUAAAAUCCAUCUUCGAAAACCAUUUUCGAUAUUCUCCAAGACCCACUUCUCCAUUUCCAUUCAAUUCACUCUCUCAAAUUUCAACUCACCCCCAACUCGGUCCCGACUUAGUCCCCUCCUCGAAGCAUCAAUUUUCUCCUACCUCAUAUUCGAUAAUUUCGCAAAAAUCCCAUCUUUCUAUGCCCCAAGGAAGUCCCAGAAGCUACUACAGCACUGAGUCGGGAGCUGAGUCUGGGACCGAGUUGGACUACAACAGAGAAGUGGACAUGAUUAACCUGAAAUUUGCAGAGGCGAGAGAGGAGAUAGAAAUGGCUAUGGAGUCAAAGGAGACGGUGUACUUCAAUGAGGAAGUUGAGUGUGCCCGAGAUGCCGUGAAGGAGGUUUUGGAUAGGUUUGAGGGGCUCUUGGGCAAGCUAAAAAAGAGUGAAAAGGAAGCUUUGCAGAGGUCUAUGGGGCUCAAGAUUGAGCAGUUGAAAGCUGAGCUUCAUCAGUUGGAUGAUUGAUUGACUCAUGAGUAUAACCAUAUUUUUACAACUUGCUACUGGUUGAAUUCAUGUUCUGAUGGAUUAUGCAUCGAUUUUCUGUGGUUUGUCUCUUAAUUUAUAGUAGUGUUUGUGUCCUCUGAGCAAAAUCUGCAAUUGCAACAGAGCAUUGUGUUUCUUGUCUGUUUAUUAUCGACAACUUCCAUAAAGUAAGUUUUUAGUUUUGUCUUGCAAACAGCCACGAUGAUGACUUUGACAAUAUUCCGAUGCAGUUUGGUAGUGUAACUCUCAGUAAUAAUGUAGAUCAUGGUGACCUAAUAAUCUAUCUGGACGCUAACAACUGACCUUGUAUUUUGCAAGCUGUGAACCUAAACCACACCAUGAAUCCCAGAAACUCAAAAAUUGAAUGUACACGUUGUUAUAUUGAAAAUUGUUGGGAACCUUAAGGUUCAUUGUGCAUUUCAUAAAAGCAGAAGUGAAUUUGCUCAACAGCAUUCUCUGAAA